Dreissena polymorpha is the source of this 678-nucleotide long non-coding RNA. RefSeq lists it as uncharacterized. The transcript has 3 exons. Lineage: Eukaryota; Metazoa; Mollusca; Bivalvia; Myida; Dreissenidae. The record is from RefSeq and is a predicted model, not a curated record.
CCAGUGUGGCCAUACCACGUGGUUUGUGACGUCAUUUUGGCUAGCACGCUAAGUAGAAAUUUGUCAACAUUGGCCCCGCUUAGAAAUUUCAAAUCCACAUACACAUGAUGACGACCGAAGAGCGAUAUAUUUGUGCCAUAUGCGCCAGAGGGGUACAAGCACAGGCGCUAUUUGGUUUACAAUGAAAGAACACACGCUGGGAUGUUACCCUUUAACUGUUGCGGCGUUGGGUUUUCAUCAAGACGACAAUUACAAAGACACAGGUGCAAUGUACACGGUGACGGAAAAACUAUCUUUGCCUUUAUUGUGGAAAAGAAUUCGCAACGAAGGUAGAUUUAGAUGGCCCGAGAACAGCGCACUCGAGAGAUCGAGUGCCAGAUAUGCAACCACAAGGCCACAACACGGGCUCAUCUCCGAGAACAUCUCAAAACACACAGCGAGGAAAAAACACACGUUUGCCAUGUGUGCAAAGCCGCCUAUAAACACAUAAGUUCACUGUAUAGGCACUUUGGGCAAAAGCACAAAUGACGUGUAUACAGUGGUUUUACUUGUUUGUGAUUUACCCGUGAUUUAUUUGUGAUUUACCCGUGAUUGAAUUGUUGCGAUAAAAGCAUAAUCAUCAGAUCUCAAGCAUAAUUAACAUUUGAACCGUAUCUGUUUAUACCACGAUGUUUACUU